This 288-nucleotide ribosomal RNA is filed under the name Triticum aestivum (bread wheat). RNAcentral's name for it is "partial small subunit ribosomal RNA". Lineage: Eukaryota; Viridiplantae; Streptophyta; Magnoliopsida; Poales; Poaceae. The record is from RNAcentral.
AUGGCAAGGAGUGGACCGUUGGUGACAACAAGGGAUAGAGCUUCAGCGUCUCCGGAUGGGAGAGUGGCAAGCACAUCCAGUCCGGUGACGUGCUUGUACAACCCGAGUAUGCACAAUGUGGUGCAGGUGGGACAAGGCGACUACAACUCAUGCAGGGUCUCGGGCCCGUCGAGGACCUACACCUCUGGCAAUGACCACAUCCAGCUCUCCCGCGGAGGCAAAGCGUUCUUCAUCUGCAGCCUUCCGGGUCACUGCCAGCAAGGCAUGAAGAUCGAUGUCACUGCUUAA